RNAcentral lists this ribosomal RNA (778 nucleotides) under Chattonella subsalsa. RNAcentral describes it as "partial Bacterial small subunit ribosomal RNA". It matches the Rfam family "Bacterial small subunit ribosomal RNA", at positions 320 to 1108 of the family's 1533-position model. Lineage: Eukaryota; Raphidophyceae; Chattonellales; Chattonellaceae. The record is from RNAcentral.
UGAGACACGGCCCAGACUCCUACGGGAGGCAGCAGUGGGGAAUAUUGCACAAUGGGCGGAAGCCUGAUGCAGCAACGCCGCGUGCGGGAUGACGGCCUUCGGGUUGUAAACCGCUUUCAGUUCCGACGAAGCGAAAGUGACGGUAGGAACAGAAGAAGGACCGGCCAACUACGUGCCAGCAGCCGCGGUGAUACGUAGGGUCCGAGCGUUGUCCGGAAUUAUUGGGCGUAAAGGGCUUGUAGGCGGUCUGUCGCGUCGGAAGUGAAAACUCAGGGCUUAACUCUGAGCGUGCUUUUGAUACGGGCAGACUAGAGGGAUGCAGGGGAGAACGGAAUUCCUGGUGGAGCGGUGGAAUGCGCAGAUAUCAGGAGGAACACCGAUGGCGAAGGCAGGUCUCUGGGCUGUUACUGACGCUGAGGAGCGAAAGCAUGGGGAGCGAACAGGAUUAGAUACCCUGGUAGUCCAUGCCGUAAACGUUGGGCACUAGGUGUGGGGGACAUUCCACGUUUUCCGCGCCGUAGCUAACGCAUUAAGUGCCCCGCCUGGGGAGUACGGCCGCAAGGCUAAAACUCAAAGGAAUUGACGGGGGCCCGCACAAGCGGCGGAGCAUGCGGAUUAAUUCGAUGCAACGCGAAGAACCUUACCAGGGUUUGACAUAAUGUGAAUUUCUUUGAAAGAAGAAAGUGCCUUCGGGAACACAUAUACAGGUGGUGCAUGGCUGUCGUCAGCUCGUGUCGUGAGAUGUUGGGUUAAGUCCCGCAACGAGCGUAACCCUUGU